UUCUGAAAACCUGGCUGAAAAUGUCAGAUCUUAUCUGAUCUUGGAAGCUAAGCAGGAUCAGACUUGGUUAGUAUUUGGAUGGGAGACCACCUGGAAAUCCUGGGUGCUCUAGCAU
RNAcentral lists this ribosomal RNA (115 nucleotides) under Melopsittacus undulatus (budgerigar). Lineage: Eukaryota; Metazoa; Chordata; Aves; Psittaciformes; Psittaculidae. The record is from RNAcentral.